Malus domestica (apple) is the source of this 151-nucleotide non-coding RNA. The record is from RefSeq and is marked provisional. NCBI's taxonomy places the organism in Eukaryota, Viridiplantae, Streptophyta, Magnoliopsida, Rosales, Rosaceae.
GCGGAAACCCCAAUUAGGACUAAAGUAUCAAGGAGCGCAAAGAGAAGCAGAAAGAUCGCCGCCGCUUUUCACCCGAAUCGUAGGCCUUUGGCGUCUCUGCUCGUAUCUUUGCGUUCCACUGAUUCUUUCGCCCUAAUUGGGUCCGACCCGC